CCUACGGGGGGCAGCAGGCGCGAAACCUUCACAAUGCACGAAAGUGUGAUGAGGGUACUCCGAGUGCGCAUACAUUUGUAUGUGCUUUUCUGCAGCGUAAAUAGUUGCAGGAAUAAGGGCUGGGCAAGACCGGUGCCAGCCGCCGCGGUAACACCGGCAGCCCUAGUGGUGGCCGCUUUUAUUGGGCCUAAAGCGUCCGUAGCCGGAUAGGCAAGUCUUUGGGUAAAUCCUACGUCUUAAGCGUGGGAAUUCUAAAGAUACUACCUGUCUUGAGGCCGGGAGAGGCUAGAGGUACUCCUGGGGUAGGGGUAAAAUCCUAUAAUCCCAGGGGGACCACCGAUGGCGAAGGCAUCUAGCUGGAACGGGCCUGACGGUGAGGGACGAAACCCAGGGGAGCGAGCCGGAUUAGAUACCCCGGUAGUCC
RNAcentral lists this ribosomal RNA (424 nucleotides) under uncultured euryarchaeote. RNAcentral describes it as "bacterial SSU rRNA". It matches the Rfam family "Archaeal small subunit ribosomal RNA", at positions 322 to 747 of the family's 1478-position model. The record is from RNAcentral. Lineage: Archaea; Methanobacteriati; Methanobacteriota.